CCUGAGCCUUUCCAUGGUUUUGAUGCCUCGCCCUAUACAUCAGAUGUAGAUGUUCCCUCAUCAGUUGAUACGAGUAUCACCUCUCCAGAGCCCAAAUCAGUUGAUACGAGUAGUAUCACCUCUCCCAUUCCUUCAGACUCCCAAGCACCUGCCCAUCCCACUCCAUAGCCCAGCCACCCACUCUCAUGUACCAUAUGGCCAUCCCAGUAAGCAAGCCAACCACUAGAAUUUGGUAAGGACAUUUUUUUUUUAUUAAUGUUUUAUUAUUACAUAUGUA
Macrobrachium nipponense is the source of this 277-nucleotide long non-coding RNA. RefSeq lists it as uncharacterized. The record is from RefSeq and is a predicted model, not a curated record. The transcript has 3 exons. Lineage: Eukaryota; Metazoa; Arthropoda; Malacostraca; Decapoda; Palaemonidae.